AGAGUUUGAUCAUGGCUCAGGACGAACGCUGGCGGCGUGCUUAACACAUGCAAGUCACGGGGGUCCCGGGGGCAACUCUGGGAUAACCGGCGAACGGGUGCGUAACACGUGAACAACCUGCCCUCGUGUGGGGGAUAGCCGGGCUAACGCCCGGGUAAUACCGCAUACGUUCUCGUGGGGGAGUCCCGCGGGAGGAAAGCUCCGGCGCACGGGGAGGGGUUCGCGGCCUAUCAGCUGGUUGGCGGGGUAACGGCCCACCAAGGCGACGACGGGUAGCUGGUCUGAGAGGACGAUCCCCCACACUGGAACUGAAACACGGUCCAGACGCCUACGGGUGGCAGCAGGGAGGAAUAUUGGGCAAUGGGCGAAAGCCUGACCCAGCAACGCCGCGUGGAGGACGAAGGCCUUCGGGUCGUAAACUCCUUUUGAGGGAGACGAGCAAGGACGGUAUCCCUCGAAUAAGCCACGGCUAACUACGUGCCAGCAGCCGCGGUAAUAC
Molecule: ribosomal RNA, 499 nt
Filed under: uncultured bacterium
Lineage: Bacteria
Description: bacterial SSU rRNA
Rfam family: Bacterial small subunit ribosomal RNA
Source: RNAcentral